GACAGCAGUAUUUUAGCAAAAAGACGCCAUUGUUUUAUGAUUAUAGUGUAUAUUUGUGAUGCGUAUCAACAAAUCCACUACGAUGCCAUAUACCUAUGCUGGCUUUACAUAGUAAGCGUAUUGUUGGGAAUUCCAUGUAGAGCACAGAGUUGUAAGCUGGAGGUUGCCAACCUCACAGUUAGUAGUAGAAUUCCUGACUUAAUGUGUGGUGGAGGAUGG
This is a long non-coding RNA of Anneissia japonica, 219 nucleotides long. RefSeq lists it as uncharacterized. Lineage: Eukaryota; Metazoa; Echinodermata; Crinoidea; Comatulida; Comatulidae. The transcript has 3 exons. The record is from RefSeq and is a predicted model, not a curated record.